Molecule: long non-coding RNA, 579 nt
Organism: Dermacentor silvarum
Lineage: Eukaryota; Metazoa; Arthropoda; Arachnida; Ixodida; Ixodidae
Exons: 4
Source: RefSeq, a predicted model, not a curated record
AGGGUCCAAAGCGAUGCAUUGGCUAGCAUAGGAUCAGUCCCAGCCAGCGGAACCAACUCAACUAUGCGAAUUACCUAGCGCAAGAUUCCAGGAGGUGCCCACAACCAAGCUUCAGCUUCAAUCACAAUGUUUAGAGGCUGUGCUUUACAUCCGUCAGUGUCCGAAGGACCGGUGCCCUACUGCCAGCUCGGCCGAUGGCCGACUGCGGCCCGGUGUGUUCACUGCGGGGCCGUUGGCCAAACGCUGACGCAGAGCCGUCCCAGCACCCUGGCGUGGCUCUCCUGCAGUAUCCUCACAGCGCUGUGCUUUCCCUACUGUUGCUGUUGCAUACCAUUGGCGCCGCUGUUCAUGCCUGGCUGCCAGCAAGUGACCCACCGGUGCACCAGUUGUGGAUUUGUGCUGAGAAGUACAGGCCCCUGGUAAACUGGGCAUCACCGUACGGAGGACUGGCUGACAUCUGGUGGUCGCACUUCUAAUCUACUAUGGAUGCACCCGAGACGCAGGGCACAUUGCUCUUGACGGCGAUUCGGCUCAGUGGAGAAGAGUAUAACCGGUUGAGAUGCACAAAGUUCCACUUAA